GGGGAUGUAGCUCACAUGGUAGAGCGCUCGCUUUGCAUGCGAGAGGUAUGUGGUUUGAUACCCUGCAUCUCCA
This is a non-coding RNA of Picea glauca (white spruce), 73 nucleotides long. Lineage: Eukaryota; Viridiplantae; Streptophyta; Pinopsida; Pinales; Pinaceae. The record is from Rfam.